Molecule: ribosomal RNA, 252 nt
Filed under: uncultured bacterium
Lineage: Bacteria
Description: partial 16S ribosomal RNA
Rfam family: Bacterial small subunit ribosomal RNA
Source: RNAcentral
UACGAAGGGGGCUAGCGUUGUUCGGAAUUACUGGGCGUAAAGCGCGCGCAGGCGGUUCUUCAAGUCAGAGGUGAAAGCCCAGAGCUCAACUCUGGAAUGGCCUUUGAGACUAGAGAACUUGGGUACGGGAGAGGUGAGUGGAAUUCCGAGUGUAGAGGUGAAAUUCGUAGAUAUUCGGAAGAACACCAGUGGCGAAGGCGGCUCACUGGCCCGUUACCGACGCUCAGGCGCGACAGCGUGGGGAGCAAACAG